CAGUAGCCACGGUAAUACGUAGGUGGCAAGCGUUGUCCGGAAUUAUUGGGCGUAAAGGGCUCGCAGGCGGUUUCUUAAGUCUGAUGUGAAAGCCCCCGGCUCAACCGGGGAGGGUCAUUGGAAACUGGGAAACUUGAGUGCAGGAGAGAAAAGUGGAAUUCCUAGUGUAGCGGUGAAAUGCGUAGAGAUUAGGAGGAACACCAGUGGCGAAGGCGGCUUUUUGGCCUGUAACUGACACUGAGGCGCGAAAGCGUGGGGAGCAAACAGGAUUAGAGACCCCGGUAGUCCCUGUCUCUUAUAC
RNAcentral lists this ribosomal RNA (301 nucleotides) under uncultured bacterium. RNAcentral's name for it is "partial 16S ribosomal RNA". It matches the Rfam family "Bacterial small subunit ribosomal RNA", at positions 509 to 807 of the family's 1533-position model. The record is from RNAcentral.